Molecule: transfer RNA, 61 nt
Filed under: Podarcis lilfordi (Lilford's wall lizard)
Lineage: Eukaryota; Metazoa; Chordata; Lepidosauria; Squamata; Lacertidae
Description: tRNA.Ala
Source: RNAcentral
GUAGCUCAGUGGUACAGCAUCUACCUUGCAUUCAGAAGCUCCUGGGUUCAAUCCCCUGUCA